UACACAUCGCCCGUCACUCUCGCCCAACUAACCUAACAAGCAAGGGGAGAAAAGUCGUAACAUACUAGGCCUAUCGGAUGGUGCGCCUGGACAAC
This 95-nucleotide ribosomal RNA is filed under the name Micropyga tuberculata. RNAcentral's name for it is "partial 12S ribosomal RNA". Lineage: Eukaryota; Metazoa; Echinodermata; Echinoidea; Micropygoida; Micropygidae. The record is from RNAcentral.